RNAcentral lists this long non-coding RNA (226 nucleotides) under Oryza brachyantha (malo sina). RNAcentral describes it as "long non-coding RNA (OBRA_LNC000163)". The record is from RNAcentral. Lineage: Eukaryota; Viridiplantae; Streptophyta; Magnoliopsida; Poales; Poaceae.
ACCAAUUAUUUUUCUUUUUGCCUUCCAUUUUUUGACUGGUAGUAGCAUUCAAGAAGACAUGUUGUAAUCAAAUACCACAGUUUUCUAUUUUUGAUUAUUUGUCCAAUUCAUUUAGCAAGCGUUUCAUUUUGUAAUAAUGAUUUUUUGUGCCAUGCAGGGAACCGUGUUAAGUGCAUUGUUACGCCUCUUCUCUAAUGUUUUCGAUGUUGGGAACUGUUAGAUUGAU